This 73-nucleotide transfer RNA is filed under the name archaeon. Its description in RNAcentral is "tRNA-Val". It matches the Rfam family "tRNA". Rfam says of the family: Transfer RNA (tRNA) molecules are approximately 80 nucleotides in length. Their secondary structure includes four short double-helical elements and three loops (D, anti-codon, and T loops). The record is from RNAcentral.
GGACUCGUGGUCUAGCGGUUAUGACAUCACCUUGACGUGGUGAGAAUCGCCGGUUCGAUCCCGGCCGGGUCCA